Molecule: microRNA, 22 nt
Filed under: Eisenia fetida (common brandling worm)
Lineage: Eukaryota; Metazoa; Annelida; Clitellata; Crassiclitellata; Lumbricidae
Description: Efe-Mir-317-P5_5p* (star (passenger))
Source: RNAcentral
GGGAAUCAGAGCUGUCUUCGCA